UUGGCUCAGGAUGAACGCUGGCGGCGUGCCUAACACAUGCAAGUCGAACGGUGUAAUGAUUGAAGUUUUCGGACAGAUUUCAUUACAUAGUGGCGGACGGGUGAGUAACGCGUGGAGAACCUGCACUGUACUGGGGGAUAGCAGCUGGAAACGGCUGGUAAUACCGCAUGAGACCACGGGAGGGCAUCCUCCUGAGGCAAAAGAUUUAUCGGUACAGGAUGGAUCCGCGUUUGAUUAGCCAGUUGGCGGGGUAACGGCCCACCAAAGCGACGAUCAAUAGCCGGCCUGAGAGGGCGGACGGCCACAUUGGGACUGAGACACGGCCCAGACUCCUACGGGAGGCAGCAGUGGGGAAUA
Molecule: ribosomal RNA, 357 nt
Filed under: uncultured rumen bacterium
Lineage: Bacteria
Description: bacterial SSU rRNA
Rfam family: Bacterial small subunit ribosomal RNA
Source: RNAcentral